RNAcentral lists this ribosomal RNA (765 nucleotides) under uncultured bacterium. RNAcentral's name for it is "bacterial SSU rRNA". It matches the Rfam family "Bacterial small subunit ribosomal RNA", at positions 93 to 844 of the family's 1533-position model. The record is from RNAcentral.
GAGUGGCGAACGGGUGAGUAACACGUGGGUAACCUGCCCAUCAGAAGGGGAUAACACUUGGAAACAGGUGCUAAUACCGUAUAACACUAUUUUCCGCAUGGAAGAAAGUUGAAAGGCGCUUUUGCGUCACUGAUGGAUGGACCCGCGGUGCAUUAGCUAGUUGGUGAGGUAACGGCUCACCAAGGCCACGAUGCAUAGCCGACCUGAGAGGGUGAUCGGCCACACUGGGACUGAGACACGGCCCAGACUCCUACGGGAGGCAGCAGUAGGGAAUCUUCGGCAAUGGACGAGAGUCUGACCGAGCAACGCCGCGUGAGUGAAGAAGGUUUUCGGAUCGUAAAACUCUGUUGUUAGAGAAGAACAAGGAUGAGAGUAAAAUGUUCAUCCCUUGACGGUAUCUAACCAGAAAGCCACGGCUAACUACGUGCCAGCAGCCGCGGUAAUACGUAGGUGGCAAGCGUUGUCCGGAUUUAUUGGGCGUAAAGCGAGCGCAGGCGGUUUCUUAAGUCUGAUGUGAAAGCCCCCGGCUCAACCGGGGAGGGUCAUUGGAAACUGGGAGACUUGAGUGCAGAAGAGGAGAGUGGAAUUCCAUGUGUAGCGGUGAAAUGCGUAGAUAUAUGGAGGAACACCAGUGGCGAAGGCGGCUCUCUGGUCUGUAACUGACGCUGAGGCUCGAAAGCGUGGGGAGCGAACAGGAUUAGAUACCCUGGUAGUCCACGCCGUAAACGAUGAGUGCUAAGUGUUGGAGGGUUUCCGCCCUUCAGU